GACACAAACUUGAAGUAGAGUAGGUUAGUAGUAUCGGCUGGCUCUACUAAUCUACUCUACUUCAAGUUUGUGCCC
Molecule: non-coding RNA, 75 nt
Organism: Haemonchus contortus (barber pole worm)
Lineage: Eukaryota; Metazoa; Nematoda; Chromadorea; Rhabditida; Trichostrongylidae
Source: Rfam